RNAcentral lists this transfer-messenger RNA (142 nucleotides) under Klebsiella pneumoniae. RNAcentral's name for it is "partial transfer-messenger RNA". It matches the Rfam family "transfer-messenger RNA", at positions 1 to 148 of the family's 374-position model. From Rfam's summary of the family: Bacterial tmRNA, also known as 10Sa RNA or SsrA, is named for its dual tRNA and mRNA-like properties. The record is from RNAcentral. Lineage: Bacteria; Pseudomonadati; Pseudomonadota; Gammaproteobacteria; Enterobacterales; Enterobacteriaceae.
GGGGCUGAUUCUGGAUUCGACGGGAUUUGCGAAACCCAAGGUGCAUGCCGAGGGCGGUUGGCCUCGUAAAAAGCCGCAAAAAAUAGUCGCAAACGACGAAAACUACGCUUUAGCAGCUUAAUAACCUGCUCUGAGCCCUCUC